GACGAACGCUGGCGGCGUGCUUAACACAUGCAAGUCGAACGGAAAGGCCCUGCUUUUGUGGGGUGCUCGAGUGGCGAAGGGGUGAGUAACACGUGAGUAACCUGCCCUUGACUUUGGGAUAACUUCAGGAAACUGGGGCUAAUACCGGAUAGGAGCUCCUGCUGGGUGGUGGGGGUGGGAAAGUUUCGGCGGGUGGGGUUGGAUGCGCGGGUUAUCAGCUGGUUGGUGGGGGGGGGGGUGACCAAGGCUUUGAGGGAUGGCCCGCCGGGGGGGGUGACCGGCCACCAUGGGCCUGAGAGACGGCCCAGACUCCAACGUGAGGCAGCAGUGGGGAAUCUUGCCCAACGGGCGGAAGCCUGAUGCGGCAACGCCCCGUGCGUGAUGACGGCCUUCGGGUUGUAAACCGCUUUCGCCUGUGACGAAGCUGGAGUGACGGUAAUGGGUAAAGAAGCACCGGCUAACUACGUG
This 468-nucleotide ribosomal RNA is filed under the name uncultured bacterium. Its description in RNAcentral is "partial 16S ribosomal RNA". It matches the Rfam family "Bacterial small subunit ribosomal RNA", at positions 28 to 507 of the family's 1533-position model. The record is from RNAcentral.